UCAUUGGCUUUUGCAUGUGUAAUAUAUUCCUUCUCCUUUUUCAGCCCAAAUGCAGUCCCAAGGUUUGAAUAAUUUCCACCAAUUAGCAGCCCUUUUUGUGGUUUUUGUCCUUUAAUCCACACUCCGAAAGGUAGCCUCAAUUGUGUAUCUCUUUUCCCAAUGUUGGCGUGUGGAAUAUAUGCAAUGGCAGCCCUUUUAUUUCUAUAAUUUUCCCCAGAUUUUCAGCUACGUUCUCCCCCCUUCCGGCUGCCAAUUUGUGUGUUCUUUAUAUAUCAAAAUCAGCCCAAG
This 288-nucleotide long non-coding RNA is filed under the name Olea europaea (common olive). RNAcentral describes it as "long non-coding RNA (OEUR_LNC010520)". The record is from RNAcentral. Lineage: Eukaryota; Viridiplantae; Streptophyta; Magnoliopsida; Lamiales; Oleaceae.